Danio aesculapii is the source of this 4990-nucleotide RNA transcript. It is a transcript of the gene named glycerophosphodiester phosphodiesterase domain containing 2, with no coding region annotated. The transcript has 17 exons. NCBI's taxonomy places the organism in Eukaryota, Metazoa, Chordata, Actinopteri, Cypriniformes, Danionidae. The record is from RefSeq and is a predicted model, not a curated record.
ACCGCCUCAUUGAUAUUCUCUCUCAGUGGGAGUUGCAGUGCAGAGACCGUCCAAAUGUGGUGAAGUUUGAGAGGCUGAAUGAGAUUUCACGGUCACAUCGUUUUUUAGCAGGUGUGAAGAAGUGAGUCAUUCCUUAUCCAAGCACCUGCACUAGAAUACAUGAGGAGUAACCUCCCUACAUCCCGGAUGUGACCCCCAUUCAUCUGUGUACUUUCAGUUGGAAUCAUUUGAUGUGGGAAAAACACAAUGAUCACUAUGUUUCGAACCUGCCUGAGAGGGAUCUACAGUUGCCACUGGAACCAGAGAAAUAAUGAACAAAACAGGGCUCGGUGCUGGCUCUCAUUUCUGUCUUUUGUGUCCAUACUUGCCCUGAGUUGGAUGUACAUCUGUUUUAUCGCCUUCAACGACCACUACGAUGUAAACAACGAACUCUUUAAAGCAGUGAAAAAAUGGGUGAACUGGUACAUGAUAGUGAUGAUCAUUUCAGCUGUGCUUGCCAUAUACUGCCUGCUUUUACUGGUAUUUGGAUUGCUACAUCUAGCCAUCAAAGAGCCAUUGAAUUUACACUGUCUGCAUAAGGUGUUUCUGUUUUUGGGUCUCCUCGCUGUUACUUUGGAAACAGCUGGAUUUUGUUUCAAAUGGGAGAAGCAGUGGAAAGCCAUCUACAUGUCCUUUCAGGCUACUGCUCCUUUCCUGCAGCUGAGCGCUGUGGUAGCUUUAACUGUGAUUAGCUGCCUCGUCUUCCAGAGCUAUCAUAGAGCUGAAACAGCUGCUUGUAAGGUUUUCAUAAUGAUGACCUUUCUGGUUGUGUCCGCUGCUGUGUUCCUGUGUCCUCUUGCAAUCUGCUCUCCAUGCAUUACCAGUAAUCUGCCCCCAAAACCUGCCCUCAUUGGACAUCGUGGUGCUCCCAUGCUGGCUCCGGAGAACACUUUGAUGUCCUUCAGGAAGAGUCUGGAGUGUGGUGUGGUGGCAUUUGAAACAGAUGUGCAACUUAGUAAGGACAAGAAGCCAUUUUUAAUGCAUGACUGUGGUAAGAAUUUUCUGCUACGAACAACUGAUGUAAAGGAUAAGUUUCCAGGUCGAGAUGGCAACAGUAACUUCACUUUGCAAGAGUUAAAAACGUUAAAUGCAGGCGAAUGGUUUUCAAGGUCGGAUCCGUUUUGGACUCUGUCAUCACUUUCAGAGGAAGAGAGGAGGGAAGCCAACAACCAGACAGUGCCAUCUCUUUCUGAGCUCUUAGUUAUGGUCAAAAAGCACAAUGUCUCCCUCAUAUUUGACCUAAAAAAUGAAAACAACUCAACAGUAUUUCAAAGCAGUGACUCCUUUUACACUACUGAAACGAUCAAUAAAUCGGGCAUCUCACCAGGCAAGAUAUGGUGGCUUCCCCCAGAAUAUAGACACGACGUGAUGAAGAUGGAACCAGGCUUCAAGCAGGUGUAUAAUAAGCAAAAGGAAAUGCUUAUGGAUGGUGGAAACUUCAUGAAUAUGAACUUCAGCUCACUUAGUGCUCGUGAAAUAAGUGAGCUGCGGAAAAGCAAUGUGUCUGUGAAUCUCUGGGUUGUGAAUGAGCGCUGGCUCUUUUCAUUACUCUGGUGCUCAGGGGUCAGUUCAGUGACCACCAAUGCCUGCCACCUCUUCAAAGGCAUGUCUAAGCCUGACUGGCAUCUGGAACCUAAUAUGUACAAUGGAAUAUGGAUCGGGACUGACAUAGUAUCAUUGCUGUUAAUGAUUGGGCUGUUUCUUUGGCAAAGAAGGAGACUGACUGGUGAUUGGUCAACAGGCAUUUAUUGAACAGAACACAAGCCGAUGUUAUUUGAGUCAUCUAGAGCAGGAAGAGGAGGUAGAUUACAGGUAUUGGAGGAAGGAGAAACAAGGUGAGCAUACGGCCUGAGCAGUGAGACAUGAAUUGAAGGUAAGAUACUCAAUCACUUCAUCCUCUUCAUUAGAGGUUGCCACAGUAUAAUGAACUGCCAGUUACUGGCAGAUGUACUCUUUGCAACAACCCAGCCCUGAGAGCACAAAAACUCUAACCUCUAAUGCUUGGAUGUGCCUGCACACUCUUCCGUCAUUGCCCUAAGGUGAGAUAUGAUAAGUGGCAACAUUAGGUGACUUAAUUUAUCAGCCUCAGAAUAAUGAACUGACCCAUAUAGAGGGGAGUCAGCUUGCGGCAUUGGUGACCACACUCCAAUGACUUUGUUGAAAAUCAGACCUUUUGCCCUGGUAGAUAUUGAGAAGUUACUCAGAAGUUGAUGUCCUAGUAUCUUUCUGCAUGACACCAUAAACUGGGAAUCCUCUGACAUAGUGGAAGAUGUCCUAUGUCAUAUUGAGCCAUAUCAAGUUGUGAGAGGGUUUAUUGGCUUCCUGGAUGUCCAGAGUCAAAGGAUGAACCGUGAGGAUAUUAUGGUGGAUGGUUGAAACUUAAACCUUACCUUCAGGACCUCCUGAUGGAGCUGGCCCAGGAGUUGGUGCCAUCUCUGAUUUGAUCAUCAAAGGACCACUGAAGGGGGGACUAAGGAUGAUGACUGGAGGGAAGCUGGGUUUCAGUGAGGAGGAUUCAGAUUCUAGAGUGUGUUUAUAUAUGUGAAAAGGCUACUGCUUUCUGGAUUUGUUAGCUGGUCUGCAAAUAACCAUGUAGCGGAAAGCUUGUAUGGGAUUAAGCCUUUUUGCCUGACAUGCUAUAGAUAGUCCAAGCUUUGGUGAUCUGUGGUUUCCCUUAAAGAGAUGUUUAGCAUCUGAGGAUGGGAAUGGAUUGUCUGUGAAAACCUUUCCUAGUUUGAGGUAGAGUUGGUGUUUUGGUUGCAGGUUGCAGUUUUUGCAGGACUUAUAUGUUAAGAUGGCAUUGUUCAUGGUGUAAAAUAUCAUUGAAUUACAAACUGAUGGAAGAACUGCUGAAAUACCUCAUUCAUACUGCCUUGAAAGACUGAAGGUGCAUUGGUCAGCCCAUAUAGCAUAACACAAUAUUUAUAGUAUCCUGAUGGGAUAACGAUAGCUGACUUCCACUCAUCAUCUGUCCGUAUCCGAAUGAGGUUGUUUGCAUUCCAGUCCAGCUUAAAAAAAAACCAUGAGCUUCAAAUAAUUGUUCUAGAGCUGCAGGAACCAAAGUAUAGUGUAUAUAUAUAUUUGUAUAUAUUGGUUGGAAAUUUGGGAGCUGGUAGAGAUGAUAGUUGAUAUACACUCACCGGCUACUUCAUUAUUUUAUCUGUCCAACUGCACGUUAACGCAAAUUUCUAAUCAGCCAAUCACAUGGCAGCAACUUAAUGCAUUUAGGCAUGCAGACAUGGUCAAGACGAUCUGCUGUAAUUUAAACCGAGCAUCAGAAUGAGGACGAAAGGUGAUUUAAGUCACUUUGACAGGCUGGUGGUUCAACCGGACAUGUAGCGAUCAGAUGGCCAUCCACUCCACUUGUUUUGAAACAGUUGUGGCCUUAUUACAAAAUACAGGGAGCAUUACAAGAGAAACCCUCUGCAUGCCUCCAACUCAUCUGAGCAUGUAACUGGUCUGGUCAUGAGACUGGGGGUCGAGGAGUGGUGCUCGAGGAGUGACUAGCUCUAGUAAGUAUUGGCUAAGUGUCUGUACCUCUUCUUCAAAUGGGUCCAGGUUUGGAUUUCUGAUGAUUGACUGGUGAUGGGACAGCAGGCGUUUUAAAGAAAACUCAAGCAGGAGAAAGAACCACAUUUAUCGUCCAAACACAAGCGAGAAAGGCAUCCCGCUGCUUGCUCUCUGAGUGAUGUCAUGCUUUCCAGGAAGGGGCGUUUCAGUAUUUGGAUGAUUUUAUGUGGUCAGAAAAUCACACCACAUUAAAUGUGACAUUUCCUUGUGCAGUGCUGGCACUAGCUAACAAAACAAGUCAUUUCAGACAUUUGCUUUGUGACAUCAGAAAUGUUAGUAUCACACACCAGUGCUUUUGUACAUUUUGAUUUUAUGAAACUUUGUUAGCCACUUACAAAAAGCAACGACUUUAAAAUGUUGAUUCUACUUUGUAUUUUUUUUUACUUUGAAGUGUCAACAACUACUGUAUACGUCAUUUAGCUGAUCUGAAUGUACUUUUUGUUUUAUACUGAGCCUAUAAAAUACUCAUCACAAUACUUCAUGACACCUAAGAAAGACACUUAAUGUACAUAAAGUGAACCAUGGUGUUUAUCGUUAUGUAUAGAUGUUUUAUGAUUUUUGUUUUUUACUUUUUAUUGAUAUUUCAAUGGUAAAUAUGGGCAUUUAUAAACUUACUUUGACAAGUUGUUUGUGAAAAACUGGGAAAAAAUAACUCCCUUCUCUCAUUCUGUCUCUUUCAAAAUGCAUUAGAGACCAAGGUUGGUUGAAUCUAUUUGUUGUACAGGGUUCAAUUUGGAGUCAUAAUUAUUGCAAUUUAUUCUCUGUUUGUAGUUCAUUUAAAUGUAGUAUAUUUGUGAUUUAAAUAAUAUUAAUAAUAGUUAUUUUUAAAGGCAAAUAUUUUUAAUGAACAAGAGAACAUGAACUGAUAAAUUUAUUUAUACUGAAAGACUACCAAGGUAAAGUCUAGAUAGGAUGCAGCUGCAGAUAUGCACGUAAAUAUAGCAUCAUUUGUAUGACCCUGUAAAACAAUAAUUCAUAUUUUUACAGUACUGUGACGGUUGAGGUUAGGGUAGGGGUAGACGUUAAAAAAUACAAUUUAUUGGGUAAUUUAAUAAAUAUCAUAAAUAAUACUUUCUACAACUACUGUUUUUACGUUACUGUGAUGGUUGAGUUUAGGGUUGGGGUGGAUGUUAAUAAAAUGCAAUCAAUGGAAAAUGUUCAUUAAAUUCGUUAACUUCCGGCCGCAACCGUAUCUGAUCCAUAGAUAUUUACGUGUGUGUGUGUGUGUGUGUGUAUAUGUAUGUGUGUAUAUAUAUAUAUGUAUCUAUGUAUCUGAGCAACAACAGACUACCAACCAGCUCUGGUCUCCUGUAAUGGUAGCUAUUCAAUUUUUUGUACUUUUAAAUGUGAAUUUCUUGUAUAAAAAUGUUGUUUGUGUUUA